Molecule: ribosomal RNA, 442 nt
Filed under: uncultured bacterium
Lineage: Bacteria
Description: partial 16S ribosomal RNA
Rfam family: Bacterial small subunit ribosomal RNA
Source: RNAcentral
CCUACGGGAGGCAGCAGUGGGGAAUAUUGGGCAAUGGGCGCAAGCCUGACCCAGCAACGCCGCGUGAAGGAAGAAGGCUUUCGGGUUUUAAACUUCUUUUAAGAGGGAAGAGCAGAAGACGAUACCUCUUGAAUAAGCCACGGCUAACUACGUGCCAGCAGCCGCGUUAAUACGUAGGUGGCAAGCGUUGUCCGGAGUUACUGGGUGUAAAGGGCGUGCAGCCGGGAAGAAAAGUCAGAUGUGAAAUCCCGCGGCUCAACCGCGUAACUGCAUGUGAAACUGUUUUUCUUGAGUACCGGAGAGGUCAUCGGAAUGCCUUGUGUAGCGGUGAAAUGCUUAGAUAUCACGAAGAACCCCGAUUGCGAAGGCAGCUUACUAACCUGUGACUGACAUUGAUGCUCGAAAGUGUGGAUAUCAAACAGGAUUAGAUACCCCUGUAGUC